UAAAGGCCGUUUGCUGCUAAUUAACUUAUAAAAGGAAUUUGUUUUACGAGGCGAAGGACCUUGUCUUGGGAAGUACGCUUUGGUUGGGGCAACCGCGGAGUAUAGAAAUCCUCCGUUAAGUUAACUAAAUGAAGUUAUAUCUUUUUUGUGGGCUUACUAUUGGAUUGAUCCGCCUGUAUGAGGGCGAGCAAAUGAACAAGUUACCGCAGGGAUAACAGCGUAAUUCCCUUGGAGAGUUCGUAUUGGUAAGGGAGUUUGCGACCUCGAUGUUGGAUCGGGAUUUCCUGGGGGUGAAGCAGCUCCUAAGGGUUGGUCUGUUCGACCAUUAAAAUCCUACGUGAUCUGAGUUCAGACCGGCGGGAGCCAGGUCAGUUUCUAUCUGCGAUUUUUUAAUUGGGGCUGUCUCUAGUACGAAAGGAUCGAGGGGGCGGUACUACUUCUUUUAGGAAGGUAUCUAAAAUUA
Molecule: ribosomal RNA, 463 nt
Filed under: Oreasteridae sp. C2
Lineage: Eukaryota; Metazoa; Echinodermata; Asteroidea; Valvatida; Oreasteridae
Description: partial 16S ribosomal RNA
Rfam family: Bacterial large subunit ribosomal RNA
Source: RNAcentral